GUCGAACGGACCGUAUACGCAGCUUGCUGCGUGUAUGGUUAGUGGCAGACGGGUGAGUAAUGCAUAGGAAUCUACCUAGUAGUAUGGGAUAGCCACUAGAAAUGGUGGGUAAUACUGUAUAAUCCCUGCGGGGGAAAGAUUUAUCGCUAUUAGAUGAGCCUAUGUCAGAUUAGCUAGUUGGUGGGGUAAUGGCCUACCAAGGCGGUGAUCUGUAGCUGGUCUGAGAGGAUGAUCAGCCACACUGGAACUGAGACACGGUCCAGACUCCUACGGGAGGCAGCAGUGGGGAAUAUUGGACAAUGGGCGCAAGCCUGAUCCAGCUAUGCCGCGUGAGUGAGGAAGGCCUUAGGGUUGUAAAACUCUUUCAGUAGGGAAGAUAAUGACGGUACCUACAGAAGAAGUCCCGGCAAACUC
This 414-nucleotide ribosomal RNA is filed under the name Anaplasma marginale. RNAcentral's name for it is "bacterial SSU rRNA". It matches the Rfam family "Bacterial small subunit ribosomal RNA", at positions 61 to 503 of the family's 1533-position model. The record is from RNAcentral. Lineage: Bacteria; Pseudomonadati; Pseudomonadota; Alphaproteobacteria; Rickettsiales; Anaplasmataceae.